GACGAACGCUGGCGGCGUGCUUAACACAUGCAAGUCGAACGGAAAGGCCCUGCUCUUGUGGGGUGCUCGAGUGGCGAACGGGUGAGUAACACGUGAGUAACAUGCCCUUGAAUUUGGGAUAACUUCAGGAAACUGGGGCUAAUACCGGAUAGGAGCUCCUGCUGCAUGGUGGGGGUUGGAAAGAUACGGCGGUUGGGGAUGGACUCGCGGCUUAUCAGCUUGUUGGUGGGGUAGUGGCUUACCAAGGCUUUGACGGGUAGCCGGCCUGAGAGGGUGACCGGCCACAUUGGUACUGAGAUACGGCCCAGACUCCUACGGGAGGCAGCAGUGGGGAAUAUUGCACAGUGGGCGGAAGCCUGAUGCAGCAAUGCCGCGUGCGGGAUGACGUCCUUCUGGUUGUAAACCGCUUUCGCCGUUGACGAAGCGUGCGUGACGGUAAUUGGUAAAGAAGCACCGGCUAACUACGUG
Molecule: ribosomal RNA, 468 nt
Filed under: uncultured bacterium
Lineage: Bacteria
Description: partial 16S ribosomal RNA
Rfam family: Bacterial small subunit ribosomal RNA
Source: RNAcentral